CCAGCUGGCUGGAUGACUGCCCUUUGCAACGUCGAAAGAUGGUGAGGGGAGGAAAGUCCGGGCUCCAUGGAAACACGGUGCCGGGUAACGCCCGGCGGGGGUGACCCCAGGGAAAGUGCAACAGAAAGUAUACCACCUCGCAAGAGGCAAGGGUGAAAAGGUGGGGUAAGAGCCCACCGCACAGCCGGCAACGGAUGUGGCAAGGUAAACCCCACCGGGAGCAAGACCGAAUAGGAACACCAUGUUUUGCGCAAGCAAGACCAGCCUGUUUCCAGGUGAGAGUGUUCGGGUAGGUCGCAUUGAGGUGUCCAGCAAUGGCUGCCCCAGAGGAAUGGUCAUCGCCUUCGCUCGUCGAAGUGCACAGAACCCGGCUUACAGGCCAGCUGGUAAA
This 391-nucleotide RNase P RNA is filed under the name Rhizobiaceae bacterium. RNAcentral describes it as "RNase P RNA component class A". It matches the Rfam family "Bacterial RNase P class A". Rfam says of the family: Ribonuclease P (RNase P) is a ubiquitous endoribonuclease, found in archaea, bacteria and eukarya as well as chloroplasts and mitochondria. Lineage: Bacteria; Pseudomonadati; Pseudomonadota; Alphaproteobacteria; Hyphomicrobiales; Rhizobiaceae. The record is from RNAcentral.